AUUCAGCUGACGAGUCCCAAAUAGGACGGAACACGCGUACUGGAU
Molecule: non-coding RNA, 45 nt
Filed under: Schistosoma curassoni
Lineage: Eukaryota; Metazoa; Platyhelminthes; Trematoda; Strigeidida; Schistosomatidae
Source: RNAcentral